UACGUAGGGGGCGAGCGUUAUCCGGAGUGACUGGGCGUAAAGAGUUGCGUAGGCGGUUAGUAAAGUGAAUAGUGAAAUCUGGUGGCUCAACCAUACAGGCUAUUAUUCAAACUCACUAACUCGAGAGUGAUAGAGGUAACUGGAAUUUCUUGUGUAGGAGUGAAAUCCGUAGAUAUAAGAAGGAACACCAAUGGCGUAGGCAGGUUACUGGAUCAUUUCUGACGCUAAGGCACGAAAGCGUGGGGAGCGAACCGG
Molecule: unclassified non-coding RNA, 255 nt
Filed under: uncultured Patescibacteria group bacterium
Lineage: Bacteria
Description: contains 16S-23S intergenic spacer region
Rfam family: Bacterial small subunit ribosomal RNA
Source: RNAcentral